UACAGAGGUCUCGAGCGUUAGGCGGAAUCACUGGGCUUAAAGCGCGUGUAGGCGGAUCGUUAAGUGCCUUGUGAAAUCCCACGGCUUAACCGUGGAACUGCUUGGCAUACUGGCGGUCUUGAGCAACCUAGGGGCGAGCGGAACAAAUGGUGGAGCGGUGAAAUGCGUAGAUAUCAUUUGGAACGCCAAUGGUGAAAACAGCUCGCUGGGGGUUUGCUGACGCUGAGACACGAAAGCCGGGGGAGCAAACGGG
Molecule: ribosomal RNA, 253 nt
Filed under: uncultured bacterium
Lineage: Bacteria
Description: partial 16S ribosomal RNA
Rfam family: Bacterial small subunit ribosomal RNA
Source: RNAcentral